Homo sapiens (human) is the source of this 148-nucleotide non-coding RNA. It matches the Rfam family "Metazoan signal recognition particle RNA". Rfam says of the family: The signal recognition particle (SRP) is a universally conserved ribonucleoprotein. It is involved in the co-translational targeting of proteins to membranes. The eukaryotic SRP consists of a 300-nucleotide 7S RNA and six proteins: SRPs 72, 68, 54, 19, 14, and 9. Lineage: Eukaryota; Metazoa; Chordata; Mammalia; Primates; Hominidae. The record is from Rfam.
GCCAGGCGCAGUGGUGUGCGCCUGUAGUCCCAGCUACUGGGGAGGUUGAGGCAGGAGAAUUGCUUGAAUCCGGGAGGUGGAGGUUGCAGUGAGCCGAGAUUGUGCCACUGCACUCCAGCCUGGGUGACAGAGCGAGACUCUGUCUCAA